RNAcentral lists this ribosomal RNA (116 nucleotides) under Nitrospiraceae bacterium. The record is from RNAcentral. RNAcentral also lists the same sequence under 1 other name. Lineage: Bacteria; Pseudomonadati; Nitrospirota; Nitrospiria; Nitrospirales; Nitrospiraceae.
UCCGGUGGCCAUACCGAGGGGGAAACGCCCGAUCCCAUUCCGAACUCGGAAGCUAAGCCCCUCUGGGCCGAUGGUACUGCGUCCCUGUGGCGUGGGAGAGUAGGUCGCUGCCGGGA